AGGUAUUCAUGUAUGAGAUUUAUUGACAGAAUCCCCUCUGUCUCCACAGCAGGUCAGGGUUAUGCAGCCAGGGUUCAUGUGAAGGACCCUAGGGAAUAAGGGCAGACAAACCCAAGGGCGCACCUUGAAGAUGCCUGUUCUGGAUGCUGACCCAAGCCAAGGUCACCUGCGGCCUGUCCCCAUGGCCUGGUGGUGACGCCCGAGUCCGAGGCGCCUCGGAAUUGUCAUCGUUAGAAUAGCAAUGUGAUCGCUGACACAGCUCAGACCACUUCAUAUUGACCUUGUAGUCAGAGCUCCCUUCUGUUUUUAAAUGAAGGGGAAUCAAACUAACCCUCUAGACCUGUGAACUGGGCUACCAGACGCAGAUCCUCUUAGUGGCAUCGUGUGCGGAGUCCACGCGGGUGUGUGUGUGUGUGAACACUUGGAGGGAAGGGAAUACCAUCACACUAAAAUC
RNAcentral lists this long non-coding RNA (454 nucleotides) under Bos taurus (domestic cattle). RNAcentral's name for it is "long non-coding RNA NONBTAT023917". Lineage: Eukaryota; Metazoa; Chordata; Mammalia; Artiodactyla; Bovidae. The record is from RNAcentral.